GUAAAAUAAUCAAUUUAGCAAUACUCAUAAAAUUUAAAUAAUUAAUUAAUAAAAAUAAAAGAUAAAAUAAUUAAAUUAAUAGCAAGUAAUUAACUUAUUAAUAAAACCAAGCACAGAGAAGGAGAAGGAAAGAAAAAAAAAAAAAACAUAAAUACCUGUAAUUGGACUGGAAGACAAGGAGGAGUGGAGAUGGAGGCAUGGAGCACUGUACAGCAGCCCAGGUGACUCCUCUUCUUCUUAUGAUGCCUUGCUGGGUCCCUGUGAAUCUCUUCUUCUUCUUCUUCCCUUGACUUUCUUGGGGUUCGCGCAAAUUUCUUUUUCUUUUUUCUU
This 330-nucleotide unclassified non-coding RNA is filed under the name Hevea brasiliensis (rubber tree). Lineage: Eukaryota; Viridiplantae; Streptophyta; Magnoliopsida; Malpighiales; Euphorbiaceae. The record is from RNAcentral.